RNAcentral lists this non-coding RNA (27 nucleotides) under Macaca fascicularis (crab-eating macaque). The record is from RNAcentral. Lineage: Eukaryota; Metazoa; Chordata; Mammalia; Primates; Cercopithecidae. RNAcentral also lists the same sequence under 1 other name.
UACCUACCCUACCAUGACACUGGAAGU